Molecule: ribosomal RNA, 497 nt
Filed under: uncultured bacterium
Lineage: Bacteria
Description: partial 16S ribosomal RNA
Rfam family: Bacterial small subunit ribosomal RNA
Source: RNAcentral
GAUGAACGCUGGCGGCGUGCCUAAUACAUGCAAGUCGAGCGAACGGACGAGAAGCUUGCUUCUCUGAUGUUAGCGGCGGACGGGUGAGUAACACGUGGAUAACCUACCUAUAAGACUGGGAUAACUUCGGGAAACCGUAGCUAAUACCGGAUAAUAUUUUGAACCGCAUGGUUCAAAAGUGAAAGACGGUCUUGCUGUCACUUAUAGCUGGAUCCGCGUUGCAUUAGCUAGUUGGUAAGGUAACGGCUUACCAAGGCAACGAUGCAUAGCCGACCUGAGAGGAUGAUCGGCCACACUGGAACUGAGACACGGUCCAGACUCCUACGGGAGGCAGCAGUAGGGAAUCUUCCGCAAUGGGCGAAAGCCUGACGGAGCAACGCCGCGUGAGUGAUGAAGGUCUUCGGAUCGUAAAACUCUGUUAUUAGGGAAGAACAUAUGUGUAAGUAACUGUGCACAUCUUGACGGUACCUAAUCAGAAAGCCACGGCUAACUACGUG